GCCGGCCAUGCCACCCUGAAAAAGCCCGAUGUCGGAUCUGAGAAGCUAAGCAGGGUCAUGACUGGUUAGUACUUGGAUGGAAGACCACCUAGAAAGACCAGGUGCUGUAGGCA
This 113-nucleotide ribosomal RNA is filed under the name Pteropus alecto (black flying fox). Lineage: Eukaryota; Metazoa; Chordata; Mammalia; Chiroptera; Pteropodidae. The record is from RNAcentral.